Molecule: transfer RNA, 71 nt
Filed under: Gongylonema pulchrum
Lineage: Eukaryota; Metazoa; Nematoda; Chromadorea; Rhabditida; Gongylonematidae
Rfam family: tRNA
About the family: Transfer RNA (tRNA) molecules are approximately 80 nucleotides in length. Their secondary structure includes four short double-helical elements and three loops (D, anti-codon, and T loops).
Source: Rfam by way of RNAcentral
GGACCGGUGGUGUAGUGGUAACACACUGCGCCCGGACGUGAACAGGUAUGGUUCGAUUCCGUACAGGUCCC